GCCAGGUGUGGUGGUGCACACCUGUAAUCCCAGCGGCAUGGGAGGCUGAGGCAGGAGGAUGGUGAGUUCAAAGCCAGCUUCAGCAACUUAACGAGGCCCUAAGCAACUCAGUGAGACCCUGUCUCCA
RNAcentral lists this small RNA (127 nucleotides) under Marmota monax (woodchuck). Lineage: Eukaryota; Metazoa; Chordata; Mammalia; Rodentia; Sciuridae. The record is from RNAcentral.